CCGAAAUUUUUUUUUUCCGGAACAAUUUAUUUUGGCGACCUUCCUCCCCCCCCCCCUCGCCAAAAAAAUUUCGGUCAGUGUACCAUUUUAGGGGUCCAAAAAUUAUUCGGACAUACCAAAAUUUUUCGGAACAUUCAAACAAAUUUUCCCAAACAUAAAAAAAUUCACAUAAUUUCCCCCCAAAUUGACAGAAUUUGUCCCAUUUAUUUUUAUAAUAACCCAAUAUUGCCCGACUGUGAAGCGAAUAUUGCCCAACUGGCUUUGUUUGCCCAACAAACUGGGGUUAUUAUUAAGAGAGAUUUUAUUGCUUUGACUACUGUUUGCCCGACUUUUGCCCGACUUUUUUUUGUUGAACAUUUGCCCGACUUUUCGACUUUGUAAUCUUUUUGGGGGGCAGCUGCCCCCCUGCCCCCGCUCCCGUACGCCUAUGUGGAAAUAGUUAAAAAGCAUUUAUAGUUAAAAUCUAGAACGUAUCUUUAAUUGAAUCUUUAACCGUAACUUUAAUUGAAUCUUUAACUUUAUUUAACUGGGUGUUGUUGUGCCCCGUAAAUAUAACAG
Paramuricea clavata is the source of this 558-nucleotide non-coding RNA. NCBI's taxonomy places the organism in Eukaryota, Metazoa, Cnidaria, Anthozoa, Malacalcyonacea, Plexauridae. The record is from the annotation of a GenBank genome assembly.